UUUCUACUCCCUUCCUCCCAAAAUACUUGUUGAAGAAAUGAAUAAAAUUAAAUGUGUAUAUAACUAAAAUACGUCUAGAUUCAUUUAUUGCCUUGACAAGUAUUUCUGGACGGAGGGAGUAUUUA
This is a non-coding RNA of Triticum aestivum (bread wheat), 125 nucleotides long. The record is from Rfam. NCBI's taxonomy places the organism in Eukaryota, Viridiplantae, Streptophyta, Magnoliopsida, Poales, Poaceae.